Molecule: ribosomal RNA, 253 nt
Filed under: uncultured bacterium
Lineage: Bacteria
Description: partial 16S ribosomal RNA
Rfam family: Bacterial small subunit ribosomal RNA
Source: RNAcentral
UACGGAGGGCGCAAGCGUUGUUCGGAAUCAUUGGGCGUAAAGGGCGUGUAGGCGGUCUGUUAAGUCAUGUGUGAAAUCCCUCGGCUCAACCGGGGAACGACGCAUGAAACUGACAAGCUAGAGUACCAAAGAGGGGGGUGGAAUUCCCGGUGUAGCGGUGAAAUGCGUAGAUAUCCGGAGGAACACCGGUGGCGAAGGCGGCUUCCUGGACCGACACUGACGCUGAGGCGCGAAAGCUAGGGGAGCAAACGGG